ACUCUUAGGUGUAAUACAUAUCAGAGUGCAAAUCUGAAGUAGGCUAUCUGCCAGGAGUU
RNAcentral lists this transfer RNA (59 nucleotides) under Hydrophis platurus (pelagic sea snake). RNAcentral describes it as "tRNA-Cys". The record is from RNAcentral. Lineage: Eukaryota; Metazoa; Chordata; Lepidosauria; Squamata; Elapidae.